This 265-nucleotide ribosomal RNA is filed under the name uncultured bacterium. Its description in RNAcentral is "partial 16S ribosomal RNA". It matches the Rfam family "Bacterial small subunit ribosomal RNA", at positions 793 to 1055 of the family's 1533-position model. The record is from RNAcentral.
GUCCACGCCCUAAACGAUGUCGACUAGGUGUUGGGGAAGGAGACUUCCUUAGUACCGCAGCUAACGCGUGAAGUCGACCGCCUGGGGAGUACGGUCGCAAGAUUAAAACUCAAAGGAAUUGACGGGGACCCGCACAAGCGGUGGAUGAUGUGGAUUAAUUCGAUGCAACGCGAAAACCUUACCUACCCUUGACAUGUACGGAAGCCCGGUGAGAGCUGGGUGUGCCCGAAAGGGAGCCGUAACACAGGUGCUGCAUGGCUGUCGU